This 531-nucleotide ribosomal RNA is filed under the name Triticum aestivum (bread wheat). RNAcentral describes it as "partial small subunit ribosomal RNA". Lineage: Eukaryota; Viridiplantae; Streptophyta; Magnoliopsida; Poales; Poaceae. The record is from RNAcentral.
AUGAAGGCAUACACGGCGGUCGAGGACAAGCUUCUUUCUGAGUGUUGGAGAGACAUUGGGCAAGACCCCAAGGUCGGCGCCGAACAAAAGGCGUCAACCUUUUGGAUUCGUGUCCACCAUGAGUUCCGUGAGCGCAAGAAGUUUCAGCUGUACCAAAUACUAAGAACGCGCGGGUGGGUGUCCGUUUCGAAGCGAUGGAGGGUGAUCCAACAAGAGCGCAACAAGUUUUGGGCCACUCUUGAGAGCGUCAAGGCCCGCCCCGUGAGCGGCAUCUGCAUGCAAGACAUGGUAUGCAAGCGGCCACCCUCUUUUGUGUCAUCCCGUUUAUGGUUGCAUGUCCAUUUCCAUAUCCAUUUUGCCAAUAUGCUUGCAUGCAAUACAUUAGUAGGCCUUCCAAGCUUUGGAGGCAUUCAAAGUCUAACACGACGGCGAGUGCUGAAGGAAAUAUGCCCUAUAGGCAAUAAUAAAGUUGUUAUUUAUAUUUCCUUAUAUCAUGAUAAAUGUUUAUUAUUCAUGCUAGAAUUGUAUUAA